GAUGAACGCUAGCGGCAGGCCUAAUACAUGCAAGUCGAACGAGAUUGAGGAGCUUGCUCCUCAUGAAAGUGGCGCACGGGUGCGUAACGCGUAUGCAAUCUACCUUAAUCAGGGGGAUAGCCCGGAGAAAUCCGGAUUAAUACCGCAUAACGUUAUUUUAUGGCAUCAUAGAAUAACCAAACAUUUAUGGGAUUAAGAUGAGCAUGCGUGACAUUAGUUAGUUGGUGAGGUAACGGCUCACCAAGACUACGAUGUCUAGGGGAUCUGAGAGGAUGACCCCCCACACUGGUACUGAGACACGGACCAGACUCCUACGGGAGGCAGCAGUAAGGAGUAUUGGUCAAUGGGCGCAAGCCUGAACCAGCCAUGCCGCGUGCAGGAAGACGGCCCUAUGGGUUGUAAACUGCUUUUAUUCGGGAAUAAACCUCUUUACGUGUAAGGAGCUGAAUGUACCGAAGGAAUAAGGAUCGGCUAACUCCGUGCCAGC
Molecule: ribosomal RNA, 487 nt
Filed under: uncultured bacterium
Lineage: Bacteria
Description: bacterial SSU rRNA
Rfam family: Bacterial small subunit ribosomal RNA
Source: RNAcentral